GAUGAAGAACGUAGCGAAAUGCGAUACGUAAUGUGAAUUGCAGAUUUCAGUGAAUCAUCGAAUCUUUGAACGCACAUUGCGCCCGCCAGUAUUCUGGCGGGCAUGCCUGUUCGAGCGUCAUUUCAACCAUCAAGCGCCUCGCUUGUGUUGGGGCCCUGCGGCUGCCGCAGGCCCCUAAAUCCAGUGGCGGGCUCGUCGUCGUACCGAGUGCAGUAAACAUCCUCGCUCAGGGAACCCGACGGGUGCCGGCCGUGAAACCCCCCUUCCUCAAGGUUGACCUCGGAUCAGGUAGGAAUACCCGCUGAACUUAAGCAUAUCAAUAAGCAGGA
RNAcentral lists this unclassified non-coding RNA (329 nucleotides) under soil metagenome. RNAcentral's name for it is "partial contains 5.8S ribosomal RNA, internal transcribed spacer 2, and large subunit ribosomal RNA". The stretch from base 1 to 120 matches the Rfam family "5.8S ribosomal RNA", at positions 35 to 154 of the family's 154-position model. The record is from RNAcentral.